RNAcentral lists this ribosomal RNA (674 nucleotides) under uncultured Lachnospiraceae bacterium. Its description in RNAcentral is "bacterial SSU rRNA". It matches the Rfam family "Bacterial small subunit ribosomal RNA", at positions 62 to 748 of the family's 1533-position model. The record is from RNAcentral. Lineage: Bacteria; Bacillati; Bacillota; Clostridia; Lachnospirales; Lachnospiraceae.
CUUUGCUUAGAUUCUUCGGAUGAAGAGGAUUGUGACUGAGCGGCGGACGGGUGAGUAACGCGUGGGUAACCUGCCUCAUACAGGGGGAUAACAGUUAGAAAUGACUGCUAAUACCGCAUAAGACCACAGCACCGCAUGGUGCGGGGGUAAAAACUCCGGUGGUAUGAGAUGGACCCGCGUCUGAUUAGCUAGUUGGUAAGGUAACGGCUUACCAAGGCGACGAUCAGUAGCCGACCUGAGAGGGUGACCGGCCACAUUGGGACUGAGACACGGCCCAAACUCCUACGGGAGGCAGCAGUGGGGAAUAUUGCACAAUGGGGGAAACCCUGAUGCAGCGACGCCGCGUGAGUGAAGAAGUAUUUCGGUAUGUAAAGCUCUAUCAGCAGGGAAGAAAAUGACGGUACCUGACUAAGAGGCCCCGGCUAACUACGUGCCAGCAGCCGCGGUAAUACGUAGGGGGCAAGCGUUAUCCGGAUUUACUGGGUGUAAAGGGAGCGUAGACGGUAAAGCAAGUCUGAAGUGAAAGCCCGCGGCUCAACUGCGGGACUGCUUUGGAAACUGUUUAACUGGAGUGUCGGAGAGGUAAGUGGAAUUCCUAGUGUAGCGGUGAAAUGCGUAGAUAUUAGGAGGAACACCAGUGGCGAAGGCGACUUACUGGACGAUAACUGACGUUG